Orcinus orca (killer whale) is the source of this 7526-nucleotide RNA transcript. It is a transcript of the gene named KICSTOR subunit 2, with no coding region annotated. The record is from RefSeq and is a predicted model, not a curated record. NCBI's taxonomy places the organism in Eukaryota, Metazoa, Chordata, Mammalia, Artiodactyla, Delphinidae. The transcript has 9 exons.
ACGGAGCAGCGAGCGGGCCGCCUCGCGCUCUGCCCUGAGGGUCCGAAUAGUCAGAGCUGCGGGAACCGAAGCGCCGGAGUCGCUCAGGAGCUAAGGAGCGGCCAUCCCUCUCCCGCCUUGACCCUUAACCGCGUCCUCUCUAAGGCCCAGGCGCGGUGCAGGCGCCCGCGCGCUCACGAGCCCGCCGCUUGCGGCGGUCACGCGCACGCACGCUCGUGCGCCCGUUCCCUGAGAACCCGGAAGUGCGAGGGAGAGGCGAGCCACGUGGGUGGAGCUGGAGCGCAGCUCGCAUGGGGGAGUCUAUCCCGCUGGCAGCCCCGGUCCCGCUGGAACAGGCGGUGCUGGAGACGUUCUUCUCUCACCUGGGUAUCUUCUCUUACGACAAGGCCAAGGACAAUGUGGAGAAGGAACGAGAGGCCAACAAGAGCGCGGGGGGCAGCUGGCUGUCGCUGCUGGCGGCCUUGGCCCACCUGGCCGCGGCAGAGAAGGUCUAUCACAGCCUCACCUACCUGGGGCAGAAACUAGGGGGCCAGUCUUUCUUCAGCAGGAAGGACUCCAUCCGCACCAUCUACACUUCCCUGCAUAAUGAGCUAAAGAAGGUGGUGACUGGCCGUGGUGCCCUAGGGGGGACUGCACCUCACGUGGAAGAGCUCCUUUCCCACCUGUCCGAGCAGCUCUGCUUCUUUGUUCAGGCUCGGAUGGAGAUCGCAGACUUCUAUGAGAAGAUGUACACCCUCAGCACACAGAAGUUCAUCAAUGCCGAAGAGCUCGUUGGCCUUUUAGACACCAUCCUCAAGAAAUACAGCUCCAGAUUUCACCACCCCAUCCUCAGUCCUCUGGAAAGCAGUUUCCAGCUGGAGGUCGACGUACUGAGUCAUCUCCUGAAGGCCCAGGCUCAGGUCUCCGAGUGGAAGUUCCUCCCGUCUCUGGUUAACUUACACAGCGCUCACACCAAGCUGCAGACUUGGGGCCAGAUCUUUGAAAAGCAACGGGAGACCAAGAAACAUCUGUUUGGAGGGCAGUCCCAGAAGGCCAUUCAGCCCCCACACCUUUUCCUUUGGCUGCUGAAACUCAAAAACAUGCUUCUUGCCAAAUUUAGCUUCUACUUUCACGAGGCACUGAGCCGACAAACGACUGCUUCAGAAAUGAAAACGCUGACUGCAAAAGCCAACCCAGACCUCUUUGGAAAGAUUUCCAGCUUCAUCAGGAAAUACGACGCUGCCAACGUGUCCUUAAUCUUUGACAACCAGGGUUCCGAGAGCUUUCAGGGUCAUGGCUACCACCACCCCCAUUCCUACAGAGAGGCCCCAAAGGGCGUGGAUCAGUAUCCAGCCGUGGUAUCUCUGCCCAGCGACAGGCCUGUCCUGCACUGGCCCAAUGUCAUCAUGAUCAUGACAGACCGCACGUCCGACCUGAACAGCUUGGAGAAAGUGGUCCACUUCUAUGAUGACAAAGUUCAGAGCACCUACUUCCUUACCCGCCCAGAACCCCACUUUACCAUUGUUGUCAUUUUCGAGUCAAAGAAAUCUGAAAGAGACUCCCACUUUAUUUCCUUCCUUAGUGAGAUCUCCCUUGCCCUUAAGAACCCCAAGGUUUUUGCUAGUCUGAAACCUGGAUCCAAAGGUUAGCAGGUGAUUUGUGUGAAAGGCUUUCAAGACUGGAAAUUGUGUUCUUAAUUGCUCUAACGAUCUCCAGUGGUCUGUGAUUAGAGUUUCCAUCUACCUGUGCUUCUUUCAGAUCUAAAUUAAAGACACAUUCUCCCUAAUUGUGUUGCAUCCUUUAUAAGCAGUUAAGGCCAGCUCAGUUACAUAUCCAAAGAGUAAGCGAGGUGAACAUGGCUGCCGGCUGCCGGUCUCCGUGGUACAGCAAGAACUAGAAAAGCAUCCCCCUUUACUUUCACCUCAGAGAGGAGGGAAUGUCAUGGGAAGAGGCAGUACAGAGCAGAGGCGAACAGGAUGGCCGUCAGCAGCACGUGAGCAGGGGAGGGGAGGGGGGCGAUCUGAGGGGGACCCGGAGAGUGACUGUGGGGAACGAAAGGCACAGUCACGGCUAAGAGGAAAACAACACGUCUGAUGACCAUGACCUGACCAUGACCGACAAGAAUGCAAGACAGGACAAGGCUGAGCACCGAGGCAUGAAAAGAUGAAGUGGGACCCCGCUGUACAUUAUUCUAUGGAUUGCUCAAGGGGCACCAAAGUCAGAUUACAUUGUGUGAAAAACUGUUGAACAAUGGCGUUUACGCCACACUUGAACAUGGAGCUCUACAAAGGGCCAUUCAAUGGAUUGAAAUAAUUUACAGAACACUCAUCAGGAAACAGCCUUACCCCGAGUGCCAGAGACCAACACUGGUUACAUUCCAAGGCCUGGAACUCAGAUCCUCCUGCCUUUGGAUUCAGACGCUUCUGACUCAUCCAGGCUACACUAAGCCUGAAGCACUGUGCAACGUGCAGGGCAGAGCGGUGAUGCCUUCAUUACAAAUGGUGCAGCAUUGGAUUUUCAAGUAAGUCUAAGUGUUUCUAUUGUCUUUAAAAUGACACAGGAUAUGUCCAGUUAUUAAAAAAAAGGAUGAAAUUACAAAAUACAAAUGCCCGUGUUAAUUUAGCUAGUCUCAGACAUUACAUUCGAGAACACAGAAAAGCCAAAGGGUCUCCAGUUAAAAGCACACGACUAAGGAAAGUUAAGGAUUGUUGACUUUUGUCACUAAUCCGUUUUCUCUUUCUAAUCACCUCCCGUAUGCUCUUACAUUGUGCAAGACUUGUCUGCUGGACCCUGGGAAGGUGGGGUGGGCCCUACUGUAGGGUUUGUUUUUGGAAGAACAGCAGGUUUCGGCCGAAGGGCUGGGGGCUUCAGCUGCACGCCCAUUCUGGGCGCCACCAUAGGCUUGAAAGUACUCAUUGUGUCACUGGAGGAGCUAGUGCUACGUCGAAUCUGAGGCUCCGAGCUCCUGAGGGCAACGUUGUGCAAAGGGCUGAGAGAUUCCGUGGACGUGGCAGGGGUGGGAGAGUUUUUCACUUGUUCUAAGGUAUCCAGCACCACAUCGGGGGCGUGCUUUGCUGUACUCUGUCUCUCCAGUUCUCGGAGUUCAUUCAAAGCAGUGUUCAUUGUCUCUUCAAUAUCCUGUUGAAAGAGAACCAGAAGUGAGAGAUGGGCUUUAUAUGUUUUAAAAAAAUUGGCACAUUAUCAGUUUUUCAGGUAAUAAAGGGGGAAUUGCAAAAUAUUUGUUUUAAAAACGUGAGGUGUGCACCAUCGACAGAUGAAUGGAUAAGUGAAAUGUGCUGUAUACGUACAAUGGAUUAUUACUGGGCCUUAAAACGGAAAUCCUGCCACAUGCUACAUUAAAGGCAUUAUGUUAAGUGAAGUAAGCCUGUCACAAAAAGAAAAAUACUGCAUGAUGCCACUUAUAUGAGGUGGGCACAUUCACAGAAGCAAAAAGUAUUUAGAAUAGUGGUGGCCAGGGCAUGGUGGGGAGGGGAAAAAGGGAGUUGUUCUUAGAUGGGUACAGAGUUUUAGUUUUGCAGAAUGAAAAAGUUCUGGAGAUCUGUUACACAGCCAUGUGAAUACACUUUACUGACCUAUACACUUAGAAAUCGUAAAGAGGGUCAGUUUUACAUUAUGUUGUUUUUUUUAGAAUUUAUUUUUGGCUGGGUUGGGUCUUCGUUGCUGCACGCAGGCUUUUCUCUAGUUGCGGCGAACGGGGGCUACUCUUCAUUGUGGUGCGCGGGCUUCUCAUUGCUGUGGCUUCUCUUGUUGCAGAGCACGGGCUCUAGGCACGCCAGCUUCAGUAGUUGUGGCGCACUGGGCUUAGCUGCUCCACGGACUGUGGGAUCUUCCCAGACCAGGGAUCGAACCUGUGUCCCCUGCAUCGGCAGGCGGAUUCUUAACCACUGCACCACCAGGGAAGUCCCAUAUUAUGUUUUUUAUACACUGCCCCCCCCACCAACACACACACACAUGGUGGAGUACUGUGUGAGAUAGGGUGGGUGGAGAACCACUGCCCUGUUCUGAUGGAAAUACCUCUUCUCCAUAUUCCCAGGCUUCUUCCACUCACCUGGAGCAUUAGCCUGUGGCCCUGCACAGCAGCAACUGAUUUCCAUAUCUGCCUCCUCCACUGAAUUAUAAGCACCUUCAUGCAGCGGCUGACUGACCAUUGAUUUAACUCUGUGUCCAUAACACCUAGCAUGGGAGCUGCCAUACAGUAAGUGCUCAAUAAAGGCUUGCUAAAUGAAUAAACAAAGAUCCAGUGAUCACAUGUGGAUAUGUCAAUUUUUUUUUAAAAAGCUCUAUCAGGGAUUCCACUGAUUUGUUUACUAAAAGAAAUUGCAUGUUUUUGGUAUGAACACCAUGAUGGCAGGCUUACUUGUCCUCAUGGGAAAAUCUGAAGAUGAGAGAUGGAAAGAUAAAUAAAGGACACAGCUGGAAACCAUAUUGUAAGGAUGACAUCACUUUUCAAGUAAUUAUUUUCAUAUGUGAUUUCCAUUUGACGCUAAAUAUAUGGAUUUGUUUUUUACAAGUAUUUGCCCCAGAGAGAACGUGUAGAGCCUGGUUUAUCUGUCGAGUUUUUGUUUUUAUGAUUUACAAUGACAGGAUUUUGGUUCUAGAAGCAAAAGGGUUAAAACAGACCUUAUUAUACCUUCCCACCACUAAACUCCUACUCCCUGUCUCUCUAACCUAAAUGCUGUUUCACCUACUUAUUACAAGGAAUGAUGUUAUGGAUUAUAGCCAAAUAUCAUUGGUUCUAAAGAGACCUCAAAGGACUCUGCAUUGCACUUCAAAUAAAAAAAAAACCAAAAAGGUCAAGUCUUUUUGGUUUUUGCUGAAAAACUGUUGUGCACUUAAAAUUGGUUUAAUUUUGUAAAAACACAUUAAACUCUCCACACAAUCUAAUUUGCUAUCCAAAAUUCUUUUUAGUUAGGACAGUGAAAAUAGCUUGGAAAUUUGUCAUAUCAAAUGCAGGUUUCCUUGAGCACUUUUUAUUAAAAAUAAUCCAUCUUUAAUACUUCCCCAUGUUUGUUUCAUUAAUUUCUCACUUCCUUCCUUUUUUGAUCUAUUCCAUUUUUAAGCUUCAGUGAUACCUGGAAGACACUUUACUGAAAUGGUGAACCCUGAAUCUAUUCACCUCCUUUUUCACUGGCCAUACACAUAUUUUCUUCUUUUUUUUUUUUCCAUUGAAGUAUACUCGAUUUACAAUAUUGUGUUGGUUUCAGGUGUACAGCAUAGUGAUUCAGUUUUUUUUUCCUGUCAUACAUAUAUUUUCUGAUGGUUUGUGUUGUAAAAAGACCCAGAGGGAAAUAAAUGGUAGAAUGAACGGUGGAAAAAUCCAUUAAUACUGUUUUACUUUGUCAAUUCUUAUUUUUAAAUUAAUUAAUUAAUUUUAUUUAUUUAUUUUUGGCUGUGUUGGGUCUUCGUUGCUGUGCGUGGGCUUUCUCUAGUUGCAGCGAGCGGGGGCUACUCUUCGUUGCGGUGCGCAGGCUUCUCAUUGCGGUGGCUUCUCUUGUUGCAGAGCACGGGCUCUACAUGCGCGGGCUUCAGUAGUUGUGGCUCACGGGCUCUAGAGCGCAGGCUCAGUAGUUGUGGCGCAUGGGCUUAGUUGCUCCGCGGCAUGUGGGAUCUUCCCGGACCAGGACUUGAACCCGUGUCCCCUGAAUUGGCAGGCGGAUUCUUAACCACUGCGCCACCAGGGAAACCCUACUUUGUCAAUUCUGAUCAUUAGAAAAAACUACAAGGCCCUUCUCUGCAGUCACUGUUGGGAAGUAAAGACACACAUCCAUUCAGGAGUGACAGAGGAGCCAAACUUGCUGUUCUUCAAACAGCCAACCAUCAUUUUCUCACUUCAUUUACUGAGUAAUCCACCAUGUCCUAAGAUGAAAGCGUCACUUUCAUCAUACACUACAAAUGUUGUGUUUCAGGGCUCUCCAUUCCGUUCCAUCAGUUUGUCUGUUUUACUAGCUCUGGCAUGCACUUAGGAUCUGGUAGGGCUAGUCCUUCCUCAUUCUUCUUCUUUUUUAGAAUUUUCCUGGCCAUUCAGUAAGGAUGUGUUUGACUGUCCUGGGUCCUAAGUUUCUGCCGUGUCUUUGUUUAAAUCACUAUGAACCUAAUACACUUGGGCCCUUCCAGUAUCACAUGGACUUAAAUUGAAGAAUGGGUUAAUUUCUUUUCUGUUGUCUUUAGUUGAUUCUGUACAAAAGACAUGGCUCCAGAAAGUAACUCCUGUACGCCUCCUCCAUCACACACCGGUACUUACCAUGCAAUAUUCUAUCCAAAGCAGCCUACCUGAGCGAUUGUCUCUGGGUCCAGUGGCUUGUGGUCGUUGAAGCCUGUGUAUUGCCCUGAUGAUGUGGACCUUCUAAUAGGAGGGCUGUCAAUCUUCUUGAGGGAGUCGUGGCGGCUGAUGUUGGUCAAGCUGCCGUGACCCGGCCGACGCCUCCUCUCGGGACUGUCAUUAUUGAGGCCACGGUUCUGUAGCAGGCCCCGGGGGUGACUGCCCAGGCUUGGGGACCCCAGGUCAAUUGAGGAGUUGGAAAGACCAUGUGGGGGAUGGAGAGGGCAAUGGCCAUCACUGGUCCUGCCAGGACGCCUCACUGGAGGGGGUGGCUCUCCUCUUUUUCUUUGCCUAGACAGAGACAGAGAGCGAGAGGAUAGGAGAGGUUCUCACACAGGGUAAUUCUGCAAGGCUGUGGAUGCCACGGCCCCUCAGAGCCCCUGGAGAAGUGGAGGUUCAGGAGCCUGGUGACCACUCCACCUACCUGGCUAAAUAGCCAUCAGGAUGACGGUCUGUUGGGGAGUUCAUGUCCUUGGAUGAAGACUUGUCUUCAGUCACGGGCCCACUGCUGGCCUCACUGUCGGCUUUUUGGCUUAGAGUGUCCGAAAACGUAUCAUCCCUGAAACGAUGAGAAUCAAGAGUGAGGGUCUUUUGCUAGACGAAUGGGGACAAAAGAAUAAGUGAUGGCGUCUACGUAUGUAAGUCUUUCUCUUACUAACGUCACUUUUUUCUUUUCACUAUAAGAAUAAUAACGUUUCAUGGCAGAUAAAUUGGAAAAUUCCAAAAUUCCGAUAAAAAUCGCCCAUAAUAUAACGUAACAUCCAGAGACAACUACUGUUUGAAUUCUAGAAAACAUCCUUCUCUGCUUUUCUUCUCUGCCUGGGAUACAUAUCUACAAGGAUGUCCACAGUAUCAAAAACAAAUUCUGGGUAUCACCUGCGAAACAAGCAUACCUACUCAAACGACCAGAUUCAAAAAUUAUAUCUUCUAGAGAUCAAAAAAUAUUCAAGGGAACAAUGGAGACACAGGUUCGAGCCCUGGUCUGGGAAGAUCCCACAUGCCACGGAGCAACUAAGCCCGUGUGCCACGACUACUGAGCCCACGUGCCACAACUACUGAAGCCCGUGAACCUAGAGCCCGUGCUCCGCAACAAGAGAAGCCACCACAGUAAGCAUGCGCACCACAACGAAGAGUAGCCCACACUCUCCACAACUAGAGAAGGCCCGCGCGCACCAAUGAAGACCCAACGCAGCCAAAAAUAAAUAAA